Long non-coding RNA from Lontra canadensis (Northern American river otter), 3096 nucleotides. RefSeq lists it as uncharacterized. The transcript has 8 exons. NCBI's taxonomy places the organism in Eukaryota, Metazoa, Chordata, Mammalia, Carnivora, Mustelidae. The record is from RefSeq and is a predicted model, not a curated record.
CCCGUGCGUCAAACUGCCGUCUCCGCCCACCCCAAACAAGCUCAACGGCAAGCCGCAGCUCCCGGCGCUUUGCUGGGGGCUGGAGGGGCUCAUCCCCAUGCCUGUAUCCCAGCAGGCUAAAACCUUCCCCAUCCCAGUCUUCAAGGUUGCCUGGCUCCCCACCAGACUCUUCCCACCCUUCCGUAGGACGGUGGAGAUGGAUGCGACAUCUAGACCGGGACGCUGAAUCCACCAACAGCGCACAGAAGGGGCAACCGAGUGCCCCCGCAAAGUCCUGGAGGUUUGUUGAUCCAGCAGUCUUCACCUCUGUUGUGCCUUGACCCUGUGCCUGGUGCUAGAAGCUGAGGAGAGGGAAGGAGCGGGACCCUCCCGGAACUUGUGUCUGGUGUCUGGCUGAGAGCCAGAACAUGCCACUACUUUGUUAUCCUGCCCUCCUCCAUGGAUUUCUAUAUUCCAUCAUUCUUCUCAAAUAAAACUCGGACCUGCUUUUUCCCUUUGAAUGCUGAAGGCUCCGUCUCCAAGUUCCCCUGCUGGAAGGCAUAUUAUGAAACGGGAUGUACCAUCAGAGACCAAGGACAAAGGAUGAAUAUGUUUGAAGAUUCUGAUGGUGAAGAAUAGAGAAGAAAGCAGAUUCUAGCUUUCUGGGAGAAUAGAAAGAAACAUGGAAAAUGCAAGCUCUCCAGGGACAGGUUUUCGUGCUAACAGAGGUUGCUAAUCAGUUUAACUCACCCACCUGUUUAAAUGAUGAGCACGUGACCUGGCUGAGCCAAUCAUCAUGCCACCUCUGGGGGACUGGCCAGAGAAAUCCAUGUACGAUCAACUUAAGCCAGAGCACUUGCAUUUUGAACGAAGAUUCUAAUCAAGGAUGCCUCUCAAGCACAUGAGAAUUCUCACAUGGAAGGAAUUCCACCUGGAAGGCCCAUUCUGGAGUGAGGGUAUAGACAUCAUCCUUCUUCCCACAGUUUGAAAAGGAUUGUAGUGUAGUAACAAAAUUUUUACGAAGACUAAAGAGGCAAAAAGAAGCCGAGGUGGGAGAAAUUAAAUCUCCAAGUGACAUUCAAUCACAUGUGGAGAGACAGUCAAGUCAGAACCAAGACAUCAGUGAAGUUCACGCAGUACAGGCGAAAAAUAAAGGACGGACAAAUGAACCUCACUUGUGGGCAAGAGGCAGAUCUCUUGUGGAGGAGAUGACAUAAAGAGGUGAUAUAAAGAAGAUUAACUAGGGUACUGGUGUACUAUUUAAACCUAGUCUCUGUGAGAAGGUACAACUGGGUUCUAGGCUGACAACCUGAAUUUUGGAAAGGGCAGAGCUAGAGGAGGAUCUAUGGAUGAAGCUCUUACACAGAAGGAACACAUAUCCUAACAAAGCACUUUGAGGAAAGAGACAUUUCCUAUUAUAUUCUCAUCUGUUACCUAUCUACCAGUCUUUCGGGAGGAGAUGGAUAAUCUAGAUAGAACAAGACAAUUUUCCUGGAUUUGAAAGGGCAUUUCAUCUUUUGUUUUGGUCCAGUAAUAGAAUAGUUUAUGUGGGAUGCUAGGUGGCAGAAAGGCUUAAUAUAAUCAAUAAAAGGACGUGCAAUAAAUAUUUUGAAUACUUUUUGAAUUCAACAUCAUUAAAUAUUUUCAUAAGACCAGUGUUAUGACUCUAUCUUUAAAAAUCUGUGUUAUGACUGUUUGUACACUAGGUUUUAACCAAACAACUCAAGCCAAUUCAAAAGUGAACAGUUUUCUCUCGGAAUUACAAUGCUGUGCUGGAAAAAGUUUGGAAUAAAAUUCCAAAGACUAGAGUUCCUAUUCAGACCACUAUUUAUUUCACUUAGUGAUUUUUAAGGCAAACCCCACAGACUUUGCCUCAAUAUGUUCAGUUAUAAAACAAAUAUAGAAGGACAAAUCCUAGGCUUAAUGUUUUAUAUAUAUUUUUGUAUUCAUGAUUUUAACCUGACACUGAUAUUAUUAAGCUACUAAAGGGUUUCACUGGUAUCAAACAGAACUGAAUUUUGACCUAACCACACAGUGACUGUUUGAUAUUAGGCAAGUUAAGUGACCUCUCUAAGAUUCUAUGUCUACAUCUUCUUUUGUAAAAUGAGGUUACAUAUAGUUCAUUUAUUGCUGGAUUGCUGUGAAGGUCAAAAGUAAAAAGCAUGUAAAGUGCAUUGCAGAAAGCCUGUCCAUAAUAAAAGGGAGUUAUCCUCAAGUCUCAGCCAUCCCUCGAACAAGACCCACUCUGCUUUUCUCUUUUUCCAAGGAAAAACACACGUUGUAAAAUAAGCAUUCUUCAAAGACAACCUGAAGACGUUUGGGAAUUCCAAAGGCUGAAAAUUCCAUGAGUUCAUAAAAGCUUUCACUAAUUCCACUGAUCUAAGACAAAAAGGAGAGAGUCAACCGUGUGCCCAAACUCAUUUCUGAUGAUUUCUUCCAUCCUACCCUUUCUGGCUCUCUGGGGGUGGCUGUGCCUGUAAAAAACAUUGAAGUUGUCAGGAACAGAGUCAGCUUUCAAGAUUGGAAUGUCAGAGUAGAGUCUUCUUUUCCUCAGACCAGAAAAGGCUUGGUUGGGUAAGAGUUUCCAGGUCUGAGAGGAGACAGAGCUGGGAUAUGGGAACUGAUACAGAUAAACAGCACAAACACCUUGACAGAGUGAUAUAUCAAAAGAGACUAAAAUAGGGCAGGAACAAGAUCAUGAGCAAGAUGAGAUAAGAAACCAAAGACCCAUUCUAAAAGCUCUAAUGUGUGUUGCAACCAGAGGCGGACUAUCCUACAAAGUUCCACAUUACAUACUUGCAAUGGGUAAUGGGCACUUACAAAAAGGAGAGAAGCAUUUUCCCUUUUAUGGCUAAAGUAAAAAGUAUAAGAAAUAGCUCCAUUCAGAAGUACAAAAUAUCAUCAUGUGGCUCAUAUAUUUCAGGUGAGUUAGACUGAGAUGAUUAUAUAAUGGGUUGGUUUUUCAUAGAACAAAACCUUAUUUCUAAAGGUGCCCAGAGACAAGAUGGGGACAGAUAUUAGAAGUUUCAGGUGCUGUCUUUUGUUAUAAGUAGGCCAUUAAAUAAUGUAGACUUGGACACUGAACCAAAGAAGGGCGUUCUCUUCCACACUGGAAUG